AUAGAAGCCAAUAUACUAAUACAGGACAAGGAACGAUACAGAGAAGAUUAACAUGGCCCCUGCGCAAGGAUGACACGCACAAAUCGAGAAAUGGAUAUACUAAUA
RNAcentral lists this small nuclear RNA (105 nucleotides) under Amborella trichopoda. Lineage: Eukaryota; Viridiplantae; Streptophyta; Magnoliopsida; Amborellales; Amborellaceae. The record is from RNAcentral.